AGCUCCAUAGUGUAGUAGUUAGCACGUCUGCUUUACAUGCAGCAGGUCCUGGGGUCAUGCCCAAGGUGAAGCCA
Molecule: transfer RNA, 74 nt
Filed under: Pteropus alecto (black flying fox)
Lineage: Eukaryota; Metazoa; Chordata; Mammalia; Chiroptera; Pteropodidae
Rfam family: tRNA
About the family: Transfer RNA (tRNA) molecules are approximately 80 nucleotides in length. Their secondary structure includes four short double-helical elements and three loops (D, anti-codon, and T loops). Further hydrogen bonds mediate the characteristic L-shaped molecular structure. tRNAs have two regions of fundamental functional importance: the anti-codon, which is responsible for specific mRNA codon recognition, and the 3' end, to which the tRNAs corresponding amino acid is attached (by aminoacyl-tRNA synthetases). tRNAs cope with the degeneracy of the genetic code in two manners: having more than one tRNA (with a specific anti-codon) for a particular amino acid; and 'wobble' base-pairing, i.e. permitting non-standard base-pairing at the 3rd anti-codon position.
Source: Rfam by way of RNAcentral